Corvus hawaiiensis (hawaiian crow) is the source of this 2625-nucleotide long non-coding RNA. RefSeq lists it as uncharacterized. The transcript is spliced from 6 exons. The record is from RefSeq and is a predicted model, not a curated record. NCBI's taxonomy places the organism in Eukaryota, Metazoa, Chordata, Aves, Passeriformes, Corvidae.
UUGAAUACUUGAAACCAGCAACCGAACUGUGAUCUCACAGACCACUGGCGGUCUUUGCUCAUUAAUCUUGCUGAAUGGGAAGUGAAGAUCUGUUACAGACAUUAAGUAAGGCCUAUCAUUGAUCCUUGUGAGGAUGAACAUUGCACCUGGAAAAGACUGUGCCAGUUGAGGGAAGCAAUGCCAACAGUAUUUGUGGGCCAUGAACAUGCUACGUACUAAAAUUACUCCUAAAUGUAUCUGGUGUCAAAAGCAAUCCAAAUCAACUUCAGUUAUCCUCACACACUUGAACAGCAGAGUGACUUCUGCAUGUGGUACUUUUCCUUUUUGAUUCAAGCUUCAACAUUGUUAUAGGAUUGUCAAUACCUGUCAAUACCAGAUCCACCAUAGUGAAAAUCGAACUGCAGAGACUACCAACAACCUGCAGAAGGGAAUACUCCCCUUCUCAUCUUGGGCACUAUGACAGCCACAGAUAAGCAACAGGCAGAGAGGUAAUUGUUCAUUAUUUACUGCUGAAUUGCCUGGUGCAGGUGUGUAUCCUUCAUUUCAGUUGUCUCUCUCACUCUCUUUGGCUGGAUGAUCUCAUUUUGCACAGAUUCCUUGCACUUUGUAAAGAAUCCCAGAGAUAUGGAAAGGAUCCAUCAUUUUACACUCCCAUGCCAAAUUCUGGCAGUGUCUAAGCAGGUGCUCAGACAUGCUGGAUAUCCAGAAAAUCAAGAAAAUUGCAAAAGAAGAUGGGUAGUUGGUUUGACUCACUGCAUUUUGUGGAUGUGCUCGUGUAUAUUGCAGGAGCCAAAUACUGUCCUAAUGAAACAGUGCACAAGAUUUGGUGAGAACAAAGGGGAAGGGAGUGGGCAGGGGUGGUAAAUGUGUAUAAUUCUUCCAUUUUCUUUCCCUAGAAAACCCUCCACAUUUUGAGGCUGAGGGGGUCAUGGCUGGGAAACAAAGGUGCCUUGUCUUGCUUGGCAGCGCAGGCAGAUGCCUUCUCUACUUUCCAGUUAAAUGCCAGGCUCUGCCAGGCUCUGCCUGGGGCCAGCUGGACCUGUCCAUGACUCAGAACUUGCCCUCUGUAGUGUGGCUGUCCAGGGAGAUGGCACAGCUGGAAUGGCUGUAUGAUACUCACAAACAUCCCUUACCUCCUUGCUCUGACAAUAUUCCAUUGAUCUUCUCCAGCAGUUAAGCUGUGGUCUGACACUCCAGUUGGAGUUUCGGCUGGGCAGCCAAAAAACUUCUGUUCUUCUGUUGUCUUCAAAAGAAAAUGAUCUCUGGCUAUCUUGUCCCUGAUGAAUCCAGCUGCAGAAAGGGAGGAGUUACUCAGUCACCACGGCCAAAGAGGCAACUUCCCUACCCUCACUUAAACUACAUGACUGCUGGCAAGACACUGGAUAAGGCUUGUCUGCAUACCAGGUUUGAAAAAAAGAUGAAAGAUCCUGGCUUGACCUGAGGAUGACCUCUCUGUACACAAGCUCCGUUAUUGUAGAGGAACUGAAAGCAGCAGUGCUUAGCAAAACCAAACCAAACAAGCCUGAGAAGCAGGCGGAGGGGCUGGAGCUGCUGCCCUGCAGAGAGGUGAAGCUCAGAGCACCAGCCCCUGCCCCUGUGCUCUGCCUGUGCCUGAGUGCCCGGGAGCCAAACCUCAGUGCGGACCUCGGGGGACCUGUGUCAGCAGUGAACCCCAACAAGUCAGGUUCCUUCCCAGCCCUGGAAAGACUUGUGUCUAAAAGCAGAUCCGAAAAACUGUGCCAUCUGUUUUUCAGACUUGACAUUGAUGGUUUCAGUUUUGCUGCUAAAAUGCACCUUGCACUCUCGAAAAUAUUUCCUGUUCGGGUUCCUGCCCAAGUGACUUACAGAAACUGCAAGAGAUCAGACAGCAAUGGAAACUGUGACCACGUCCUCCUGCAGCUGCUCAGCAGCAGAAAAGCAGAUGCAGCUGGCUACUGAGAGGCGGUACACAUGGCAAAACCAUUGCCUGCCAACCCCUCUGCUGAGACCAAGCUUGACAAGAGCCUACAUGGAGGAGGGAGUGAGACCAGCCUCUACUUUUCCUGGAACAUUGGGCAUUUGAUUGCCACUAGAAGACUGAAGAAAUCUUCUUUGAAGUCGCUGCAAUUACUUUGUCUGGACUAUACUGUAUGGCUAUUUUUUGAUCUCGUCAAGCACAGGCUGCUUGCAAUCGAUACAGAAAGAAGGGGCGAAGGAGAAGAAUAGAAAAGGAAUGGAAAAUGCCAUGGUAAGGUCACUGAAACAUAGUUUUCGGAUAUGUGAAGAAUACCCACCAGGAUGAAGCAUUCAUCUCUUCAUAAGAUUUUCAGAAGUUUUUCCAAAACAAACACUGAAUGUCACAACAAUAAUUAAUUAACAUGGUCAAGCUCUUUCCUCCUUACUCCUAUUGUUCACACAGCAGUCUGUAAAAAACAGAAAGCAAAAACAUUGAAAAAGCAGCACUUUUAUGGCAUUCAUUGGGUUCGCUCUUGAUCAGGCAGCAUUCUUUAUAAAGCAGCAAACGGAGCAACAUGGGAAUCUACAAAUUGUAACAGACUCUUGCAAAAGAACUGACACUUUAUCUUAAUGUACAUCUGCAAUUAUAAAAGUUGUGAGAAAGUUUCAAAAUAAACCGCAACCCUGGAA